GGGAACUCCAUCUCACUCCCUACUUUAACCGCCUGUAAACCCGCAAGGGCUUCAACAGCAAAUGGAGACUGAACAUUCCGGUGUAAAACCGUCCUCGUUGCCAUGAGUCGUCCGCCCCUGCCCCAGACCACCAGGCCGGAUGCCGACUUAAAGUUCCUACCAUCAAAUGCUGCAUCAAACUGAAUCGUCACGCUGGUUCCUCCCUCUUGAUACCUGUGACUGCUGCUCGGUUUGAAGGUACUUGCUUUCGUCCUCAACCCUUCGAGUUCAGCUAUGUAGUUUCUAACUUUAAGAGAUAAUUCCCUCCCUGUUUCUAUUUUCUGCUCAUAUAUAAAUUUAUUCCUUGAGUUCCAAAUAAACCACAUGCCACAACAGUAAAUCUUACACUGCUCUGAGGUACUUGUUCUGAAAACCCAGGUAAUCCAAUCCCAAAAUCCUUGAAUCGUACUUUCACUAAUCACGACAGAUCUAAUAAUGGACAUAUUUCACCCGUUGCAGGACAAUACCUAAAGAUGUGGGUGAUGUUUUCUUCCCCUCUUCCACAUCGAGGACAGGCCGCGUCAUUACUCACCCGUUUAUGUUUUAAAUUAGCUAGAGUAGGGAUAUAGUUCCAAGAUAUUCUCCAUAUUGUAAUUGCUAUCUUAGCAGGUAGUUGUAAAUUCCAUAGCUUACCGUAGAAAUCCUUUAG
RNAcentral lists this long non-coding RNA (688 nucleotides) under Gossypium barbadense (sea-island cotton). RNAcentral describes it as "long non-coding RNA (GBAR_LNC004663)". The record is from RNAcentral. Lineage: Eukaryota; Viridiplantae; Streptophyta; Magnoliopsida; Malvales; Malvaceae.